Molecule: long non-coding RNA, 1962 nt
Organism: Cygnus atratus (black swan)
Lineage: Eukaryota; Metazoa; Chordata; Aves; Anseriformes; Anatidae
Exons: 5
Source: RefSeq, a predicted model, not a curated record
GCGAAUAACGACGGGGUGAUUCACGGCGAGGGCUGCGGCGUCCCGGUCACCUCCUUCAUUAGCGCCGCGGACACCCGGCCGGCGGGCAGCUCGGGGUGGCUCCCGGGGGGCUCGGGGAGGGGCACCUCUGCUUAGAGAAGUUGUUGCGUCGCUGUCUGUGGAGACAGCCAAAACCCAUCUCGACAUGGUUGUGGACAACCUUCUGUGGCUGACCCUGCCUGAGCAGGGGGGUUGGACAGCAUGGUCUCCAGAUGCACCUUCCAAACUCAUCCCUUCUGUGACUGUGUCUUGGUGACUCUCCCCUGACAAACGCUUUUGUGGUACCAUACAUAAUCGUCCCCAACUUCAGUCAGUUCUUCAAGCGACCACUCUCAGCUAUGAUGACACAACACAAACGAACGGAGGACCCAGCACAGCUGGUACACACUGGAGAUCGUUUAAGGAUGAUUGUGUGCUGGGCAAAUGAAUAAAAAGAAAAGCUGUACAAUGAUCCUCGUAGGAGUAGCGCAGGUCCGUGUACUGCACGUGACAGAAAGGGUGAAUUCCCACCGGACUUGUGGAGGCUGCGAACAGGAGCAUCUUCAGGAGAUGGAGCACGCAGCGAUGACAGAAAUGAAAUUUCUUCCAACGCAAGAAUAUCCAUGGCUUCUCAUUUCCCUGCAGGUUUUUCAAGCAGCCUGAGAAGGUGAAAGGCUCCCGAGACAAAGGGUUUAAUUCUCUGCAUUUUGGCCAUGGGACAGAUCAGGAUUCCUUCCCUCUGGCAGCCACAGAAGCAAGAUACCCAGGGCAGCAAGGAGCACACAGGGCUACUCAGCAGGAUAUAUCGUCCAGCCCAUACAGAAAAAUAACCCUGAAGACAACUGAAAGAAGUUCCUUAUUUUGUCGUAGAUGAAAAACAGGAAGGAGAAAUUGUAGCAGAGAAGCAUCCAUCCUGGAUCCAUUUCCUGACGGCAGGGGGAAGCUAAGGAUAUAUUGAAAUAAAACUCAACUUCUGAACUAGAAACUUGAAUUUGGCAAAGGAUUUACAAAACAUAGCAAUAAAAUGGUAUUUCAUAUCUGGAAAUCAAAUGUGGGAAUUAAAGACUCCUAUACAAAUAAUCAGAAGAGUGGUGGUGGCACCACCACUGCUGGACAUUUAAAAUCUGUUGGACAAGAAGGAGAGGGUGAAGGAACUCCUAAGUGCCAUGUGAAAGUAAAUGAAAGUUCUUCAGGAAAAGAAACAAGAAUCUGUGACUUUGGGGAAUGGCUGUUGCAAAAAAUGAACUUCGCAACAGAAACUGUCUGGAAAAUAAUUACAGAAAAAUACACAGAGUACAUACAAAUAUGGAGGAACGUUGGAGAGAGGAUAGUAAAAGUCCACCAGAGAUCACACUCGGUCCAACCAAGGAUGCAAACGUAAAAUGGCUUUGCAAAAAUGUUAGAGAAGGCAGCUGAAGCUCGUGCUGCCUGCUGGUGCUACCAGGCCCCUAGCCUUCCCAUCACUCUUGCAGGAGCCGCCGAGCCUGCGGUGGAGCGCAGCCCAUUAGCUGAGACCUGGAGCACCUCUGCCUUUUAUCGUCCCUGCUUCCUGCUGACUCCAGCAGGUUAUUUUUCACAUUAGCACAUGCAGAAGGUUACAUUCAUUUAUAUAUUUUUUUCUGUAAGGGUCUCCAGUGGGAAGCUAACCAUUAGUGAGCUCCCGUUAUAGCUCAUAUUUACUAUUUAUAAAAUUAGUACCAAAAAUACUAAAUCGAAGCACAAAAGUGUUCUUGCUCAUGUGAUUUCCGAGUCUGUUGUCUACACCACUUUAGGAUUCUUCGGGUUUUUUAAUUUAAGGAUCUUCAUAUGUCCCUAAUUUAAGGCUGUUAAUUAUAUGUGUGUGUGUGUAUAUAUAUAUACAAGCAUAUGUUUAUAUAGACUCUAUAUGCGCACAUGUGUAUGAAACCUCUGAACAUUUUUCAAGUUAACUGUAGCACUCAAAUA